UUAUGUUACAGGUGAUACUAUGCCUUUCAUACACCCCCUUCUAUUGCUCUACCCAUGUGAUAAGAUAAUUUUGUACAACAAUACACAAUAUAAUAAGACAGAACAUGAAAGAAUAGAUUAAGAAAGUUAACCUCUUGUGGAAAAUAUACUCUUGGCUUUACUUGUCCAUCAUGUAAGGUUUGUGAAUUCUGGUAUUUUGAGUAUGGCCAUUUUCUGCCAUGAAAGUAUCACCUGGAGCAAUUAGUUUAUAAGUGAGCCACAUAUCGUUUGGUUCACCCAGAAUC
RNAcentral lists this long non-coding RNA (284 nucleotides) under Helianthus annuus (common sunflower). RNAcentral describes it as "sRNA HanXRQr2_Chr04g0143431". Lineage: Eukaryota; Viridiplantae; Streptophyta; Magnoliopsida; Asterales; Asteraceae. The record is from RNAcentral.